CAGGAGUGAUCCGAACUGCUAUUGUCAACCUGGACCAUGAGAAGAAGGAUCAUUAUGUUUUGGUAACCCAAGCGAAAGACAUGGCAGGGCAGAGUUGUACCAGCUAAGCAUGCUGGAAACGGCAGCCAUCGGAACAACAGUGGGCAGGGUGAAGGCUGAGGAGACUGACCUGGGACAAAACUCAGAGAUGACCUACACGGUCAAAGUGCAAGAGAGCUCUGAUAGGUUCAGUGUCAUCACAGACCCAGACGCACAGGGAGGGAUAAUCAUUCUCAAGAAGCGUACAAACCUGACAAUCGUCCUCCCACAGGCAACCAUGAAACAAAGAAAACACCAUGGAACCUGUUCAAAGAAAGUAUCAAACACCCAAGCACAAGAAAGAACAAUCAUCCAAAUGGCAAAAAG
Molecule: long non-coding RNA, 405 nt
Organism: Mobula hypostoma (lesser devil ray)
Lineage: Eukaryota; Metazoa; Chordata; Chondrichthyes; Myliobatiformes; Myliobatidae
Exons: 3
Source: RefSeq, a predicted model, not a curated record